CCUACGGGAGGCAGCAGUGGGGAAUAUUGGACAAUGGGGGGAACCCUGAUCCAGCGACGCCGCGUGAGUGAAGAAGUAUUUCGGUAUGUAAAGCUCUAUCAGCAGGGAAGAAAAUGACGGUACCUGACUAAGAAGCCCCGGCUAACUACGUGCCAGCAGCCGCGGUAAUACGUAGGGGGCAAGCGUUAUCCGGAUUUACUGGGUGUAAAGGGAGCGUAGACGGUUAUGUAAGUCUGGAGUGAAAGCCCGGGGCCCAACCCCGGGACUGCUUUGGAAACUGUGUAACUGGAGUACAGGAGGGGCAGGCGGAAUUCGUGGUGUAGCGGUGAAAUGCGUAGAUAUCAGGAGGAACACCGGCGGCGAAGGCGGCCUGCUGGACUGAAACUGACGUUGAGGCUCGAAAGCGUGGGGAGCGAACAGGAUUAGAUACCCCAGUAGUC
Molecule: ribosomal RNA, 440 nt
Filed under: uncultured bacterium
Lineage: Bacteria
Description: partial 16S ribosomal RNA
Rfam family: Bacterial small subunit ribosomal RNA
Source: RNAcentral